GAUGAAGAACGUAGCGAAAUGCGAUAAGUAAUGUGAAUUGCAGAAUUCAGUGAAUCAUCGAAUCUUUGAACGCACAUUGCGCCCGCCAGUAUUCUGGCGGGCAUGCCUGUUCGAGCGUCAUUUCAACCCUCAAGCCCAGCUUGGUGUUGGGGAUCGUCACAUGCGCCCUCGGGCGCCCGCCGUCCCCUAAAUCUAGUGGCGGUCCCGCUGCAGCCUCCUCUGCGUAGUAGUUUUCUCCUCGCAAGGGCAGCUCGGUGGCGACCUCGCCGUAAAACCCCCAACUUCUGAAAGGUUGACCUCGAAUCAGGUAGGAAUACCCGCUGAACUUAAGCAUAUCAAUAAGCGGAGGA
RNAcentral lists this unclassified non-coding RNA (350 nucleotides) under soil metagenome. Its description in RNAcentral is "partial contains 5.8S ribosomal RNA, internal transcribed spacer 2, and large subunit ribosomal RNA". The stretch from base 1 to 120 matches the Rfam family "5.8S ribosomal RNA", at positions 35 to 154 of the family's 154-position model. The record is from RNAcentral.